RNAcentral lists this transfer RNA (73 nucleotides) under Pteropus alecto (black flying fox). It matches the Rfam family "tRNA". Rfam says of the family: Transfer RNA (tRNA) molecules are approximately 80 nucleotides in length. Their secondary structure includes four short double-helical elements and three loops (D, anti-codon, and T loops). Further hydrogen bonds mediate the characteristic L-shaped molecular structure. tRNAs have two regions of fundamental functional importance: the anti-codon, which is responsible for specific mRNA codon recognition, and the 3' end, to which the tRNAs corresponding amino acid is attached (by aminoacyl-tRNA synthetases). tRNAs cope with the degeneracy of the genetic code in two manners: having more than one tRNA (with a specific anti-codon) for a particular amino acid; and 'wobble' base-pairing, i.e. permitting non-standard base-pairing at the 3rd anti-codon position. The record is from Rfam by way of RNAcentral. Lineage: Eukaryota; Metazoa; Chordata; Mammalia; Chiroptera; Pteropodidae.
GGUUCCAUAGUGUAGCGGUUAGCACGUCUGCUUUACAUGCGGAAGGUUCUGGGUUCACGCCCCAGUGGAGCCA